Molecule: long non-coding RNA, 214 nt
Filed under: Carica papaya (papaya)
Lineage: Eukaryota; Viridiplantae; Streptophyta; Magnoliopsida; Brassicales; Caricaceae
Description: long non-coding RNA (CPAP_LNC009316)
Source: RNAcentral
AGUAGAAACAAAUCAUUACAUAUCCCUUACAAAUAUAUAUGAGUUCUAAUACAUACAUAUACUGAGACCAAAAGUGGCUGUAAAAUAUAAAACAAAAUACAAGAGCCACUUCUUUUGCUAUGUUAUUGGACUCAUCAGAGUGCGAGAACAAUUAUGCACUCAGACUUGUGGAUCCACAAAACCCUCAUAGACUUCCAAGGGUAAGUAAGUUUGU